Molecule: ribosomal RNA, 253 nt
Filed under: uncultured bacterium
Lineage: Bacteria
Description: partial 16S ribosomal RNA
Rfam family: Bacterial small subunit ribosomal RNA
Source: RNAcentral
UACGUAGGGUGCGAGCGUUGUCCGGAAUUACUGGGCGUAAAGAGCUCGUAGGUGGUUUGUCGCGUUGUUCGUGAAAUCUCACGGCUUAACUGUGAGCGUGCGGGCGAUACGGGCAGACUAGAGUACUGCAGGGGAGACUGGAAUUCCAGGUGUAGCGGUGAAAUGCGUAGAUAUCUGGAGGAACACCGGUGGCGAAGGCGGCAUCCUGGACCGACACUGACGCUGAGGAGCGAAAGCCAGGGGAGCAAACGGG